UACAGAGACUGCAAGCGUUAUUCGGAUUCACUGGGCGUAAAGGGUGCGCAGGCGGUUGGGUGUGUCAGAUGUGAAAUCCCGAGGCUUAACCUCGGAACUGCGUCUGAAACUACUCGACUAGAGUACUGGAGAGGGAAACGGAAUUCACGGUGUAGCAGUGAAAUGCGUAGAUAUCGUGAGGAACACCAGAGGGCGAAGGCGGUUCUCUGGGACGGUACUGACGCUGGAGACGCGAAAGCGUGGGGAGCGAACAGG
Molecule: ribosomal RNA, 255 nt
Filed under: uncultured bacterium
Lineage: Bacteria
Description: partial 16S ribosomal RNA
Rfam family: Bacterial small subunit ribosomal RNA
Source: RNAcentral